RNAcentral lists this ribosomal RNA (492 nucleotides) under uncultured bacterium. RNAcentral's name for it is "partial 16S ribosomal RNA". It matches the Rfam family "Bacterial small subunit ribosomal RNA", at positions 29 to 507 of the family's 1533-position model. The record is from RNAcentral.
AGUGAACGCUGGCGGUAUGCCUAACACAUGCAAGUCGAACGGCAGCACAGUAAGAGCUUGCUCGUACGGGAGGUGAGUGGCGUACGGGUGAGGAGUACAUCGGAAUCUACUUUUUCGUGGGGGUUCACGUAGGGAAACUUACGCAAAUACCGCAUACGACCUACGGGUGAAAGUAGUGGAACUUUGGAUCUUGCGCGGAUGAAUGGGCCAAUGUCGGAUUAGCUAGUUAGGGGGGUAAUGGCCCACCAAGGGCCCGAUCCGUAGCUGGUCUGAGAGGAUGAUAGGACAAACUGGAACUGAGACAGGGUCCCGAAUCUUGGGGGAGGCAGCAGUGGGGAAUACUGGACAAUGGGAGCAAGCCUGAUCCAGCCAUACCGCGUGGGUGAAGAAGGCCUUCGGGUUGUAAAAUCUUUUUGUUGGGAAAGAUAAGCAGCAGUUUAAUACCCCGAUGUACUGACGGUACCCAACGAAUAAGCACCGGCUAACUUCGUG